GGUCCAUAAAUUUCUUUCAAAUGAAGUGAACAGAGUUCAAUUUUCCUUCUAUUUCAGCUGGUAAAUGACAGAAAGGCUAGAAUCUGAAAUUGGGAAUUUGAGUAGUUCCUAUUAUCGUCUUGGGGCUGAUCUUGGUAUUAGCUUGUUGCAAAUUCUGGUGUUGCCAAUUGUUGUAUUAAUCAACUAUGCGGAUCACAAAACAUUGUACAAAUAUGAAAGUAACACAGGCAAUACGUAAACACUACUGUAAAAUUAGUGCUUGAAAUGGGAUUCAUUGUGGCUUUCCCUUGGUGUCGUG
This 298-nucleotide unclassified non-coding RNA is filed under the name Hevea brasiliensis (rubber tree). Lineage: Eukaryota; Viridiplantae; Streptophyta; Magnoliopsida; Malpighiales; Euphorbiaceae. The record is from RNAcentral.